This 511-nucleotide ribosomal RNA is filed under the name uncultured bacterium. RNAcentral's name for it is "bacterial SSU rRNA". It matches the Rfam family "Bacterial small subunit ribosomal RNA", at positions 791 to 1301 of the family's 1533-position model. The record is from RNAcentral.
UAGUCCACGCCGUAAACGAUGAGUGCUAGUUGUUGGGCCUUGAGCUCGGUGACGUAGUUAACGCGUUAAGCACUCCGCCUGGGGGAGUACGGUCGCAAGAUUAAAACUCAAAGGAAUUGACGGGGACCCGCACAAGCGGUGGAGCAUGUGGUUUAAUUCGAGGCAACGCGAAGAACCUUACCAGUCCUUGACAUCCCGAUCGCGAUUAAUGGAGACAUUUUUCUCAGUUCGGCUGGAUCGGUGACAGGUGCUGCAUGGUUGUCGUCAGCUCGUGUCGUGAGAUGUUGGGUUAAGUCCCGCAACGAGCGCUACCCCUAUUGUUAGUUGCCAGCGAGUAAUGUCGGGGACUCUAACGAGACUGCCCGCGUAAGCGGAGAGGAAGGUGGGGACGACGUCAAAUCAUCAUGGCCUUUAUGCCUAGGGCUACACACGUGCUACAAUGGCAGGUACAGAGGGUUGCGAAGGGGUGACCUGGAGCUAAUCUCAGAAAGCCUGUCCCAGUUCGGAUUGG